UACGUAGGGGGCAAGCGUUGUCCGGAUUUAUUGGGCGUAAAGAGCUCGUAGGCGGCUUGUCGCGUCGUUCGUGAAAACCUGGGGCUCAACCCCAGGCUUGCGGGCGAUACGGGCAGGCUAGAGUUCGGUAGGGGAGACUGGAAUUCCUGGUGUAGCGGUGAAAUGCGCAGAUAUCAGGAGGAACACCGGUGGCGAAGGCGGCUCUCUGGGACGGUACUGACGCUGAGACGCGAAAGCGUGGGGAGCGAACAGG
This 253-nucleotide ribosomal RNA is filed under the name uncultured bacterium. RNAcentral's name for it is "partial 16S ribosomal RNA". It matches the Rfam family "Bacterial small subunit ribosomal RNA", at positions 524 to 776 of the family's 1533-position model. The record is from RNAcentral.